GAUGAAGAACGUAGCGAAAUGCGAUAAGUAAUGUGAAUUGCAGAAUUCCGUGAAUCAUCGAAUCUUUGAACGCACAUUGCGCCCCUCGGUAUUCCGGGGGGCAUGCCUGUCCGAGCGUCAUUGCAACCUUCAAGCGCGGCUUGUGUGUUGGGUCUCGUCCCCCGUGGACGGGCCCGAAAGGCAGUGGCGGCACCGCGUCCGGUCCUCGAGCGUAUGGGGCUUCGUCACCCGCUCUUGUAGGCCCGGCCGGCGCUUGCCGACACAUCAAUCUUUUUUCCAGGUUGACCUCGGAUCAGGUAGGGAUACCCGCUGAACUUAAGCAUAUCAAUAAGCGGAGGA
This 339-nucleotide unclassified non-coding RNA is filed under the name soil metagenome. RNAcentral describes it as "partial contains 5.8S ribosomal RNA, internal transcribed spacer 2, and large subunit ribosomal RNA". The stretch from base 1 to 120 matches the Rfam family "5.8S ribosomal RNA", at positions 35 to 154 of the family's 154-position model. The record is from RNAcentral.